CCUACGGGAGGCAGCAGUGAGGAAUAUUGGUCAAUGGACGAGAGUCUGAACCAGCCAAGUAGCGUGAAGGAUGACUGCCCUAUGGGUUGUAAACUUCUUUUAUAUGGGAAUAAAACGUUCCACGUGUGGGAUUUUGUAUGUACCAUAUGAAUAAGGAUCGGCUAACUCCGUGCCAGCAGCCGCGGUAAUACGGAGGAUCCGAGCGUUAUCCGGAUUUAUUGGGUUUAAAGGGAGCGUAGGUGGAUUGUUAAGUCAGUUGUGAAAGUUUGCGGCUCAACCGUAAAAUUGCAGUUGAAACUGGCAGUCUUGAGUACAGUAGAGGUGGGCGGAAUUCGUGGUGUAGCGGUGAAAUGCUUAGAUAUCACGAAGAACUCCGAUUGCGAAGGCAGUUCACUGGACUGCAACUGACACUGAGGCUCGAAAGUGUGGGUAUCAAACAGGGUUAGAUACCCCAGUAGUC
This 460-nucleotide ribosomal RNA is filed under the name uncultured bacterium. RNAcentral describes it as "partial 16S ribosomal RNA". It matches the Rfam family "Bacterial small subunit ribosomal RNA", at positions 338 to 795 of the family's 1533-position model. The record is from RNAcentral.